Long non-coding RNA from Oncorhynchus tshawytscha (Chinook salmon), 345 nucleotides. NCBI's taxonomy places the organism in Eukaryota, Metazoa, Chordata, Actinopteri, Salmoniformes, Salmonidae. The record is from Ensembl.
GGGGUACCGGUACAGAGUCAAUGUGGAGACUAUAUACAGUGGGUACCGGUACAGAGUCAAUGUGGAGGCUAUAUACAGGGUGUUACGGUACAGAGUCAAUGUGGAGGCUAUAUACAGGGGGUACCGGUACAGAGUCAAUGUGGAGGCUAUAUACAGGAGGUACAGGUACAGAGUCAAUGUGGAGGCUAUAUACAGGGGGUACCGGUACAGAGUCAAUGUGGAGGCUAUAUACAGGGUAUUACGGUACAGAGUCAAUGUGGAAACUAUAUACAGGGAGUACAGGUACAGAGUCAAUGUGGAGGCUAUAUACAGGGGGUACAGAGUCAAUGUGGAGACUAUAUACAG